RNAcentral lists this ribosomal RNA (1515 nucleotides) under Escherichia coli. RNAcentral's name for it is "partial 23S ribosomal RNA". It matches the Rfam family "Bacterial large subunit ribosomal RNA", at positions 1 to 1549 of the family's 2925-position model. Lineage: Bacteria; Pseudomonadati; Pseudomonadota; Gammaproteobacteria; Enterobacterales; Enterobacteriaceae. The record is from RNAcentral.
GGGUUGUGAGGUUAAGCGACUAAGCGUACACGGUGGAUGCCCUGGCAGUCAGAGGCGAUGAAGGACGUGCUAAUCUGCGAUAAGCGUCGGUAAGGUGAUAUGAACCGUUAUAACCGGCGAUUUCCGAAUGGGGAAACCCAGUGUGAUUCGUCACACUAUCAUUAACUGAAUCCAUAGGUUAAUGAGGCGAACCGGGGGAACUGAAACAUCUAAGUACCCCGAGGAAAAGAAAUCAACCGAGAUUCCCCCAGUAGCGGCGAGCGAACGGGGAGCAGCCCAGAGCCUGAAUCAGUGUGUGUGUUAGUGGAAGCGUCUGGAAAGGCGUGCGAUACAGGGUGACAGCCCCGUACACAAAAAUGCACAUACUGUGAGCUCGAUGAGUAGGGCGGGACACGUGGUAUCCUGUCUGAAUAUGGGGGGACCAUCCUCCAAGGCUAAAUACUCCUGACUGACCGAUAGUGAACCAGUACCGUGAGGGAAAGGCGAAAAGAACCCCGGCGAGGGGAGUGAAAAAGAACCUGAAACCGUGUACGUACAAGCAGUGGGAGCACAGAGCAAUCUGUGUGACUGCGUACCUUUUGUAUAAUGGGUCAGCGACUUAUAUUCUGUAGCAAGGUUAACCGAAUAGGGGAGCCGAAGGGAAACCGAGUCUUAACUGGGCGUUAAGUUGCAGGGUAUAGACCCGAAACCCGGUGAUCUAGCCAUGGGCAGGUUGAAGGUUGGGUAACACUAACUGGAGGACCGAACCGACUAAUGUUGAAAAAUUAGCGGAUGACUUGUGGCUGGGGGUGAAAGGCCAAUCAAACCGGGAGAUAGCUGGUUCUCCCCGAAAGCUAUUUAGGUAGCGCCUCGUGAAUUCAUCUCCGGGGGUAGAGCACUGUUUCGGCAAGGGGGUCAUCCCGACUUACCAACCCGAUGCAAACUGCGAAUACCGGAGAAUGUUAUCACGGGAGACACACGGCGGGUGCUAACGUCCGUCGUGAAGAGGGAAACAACCCAGACCGCCAGCUAAGGUCCCAAAGUCAUGGUUAAGUGGGAAACGAUGUGGGAAGGCCCAGACAGCCAGGAUGUUGGCUUAGAAGCAGCCAUCAUUUAAAGAAAGCGUAAUAGCUCACUGGUCGAGUCGGCCUGCGCGGAAGAUGUAACGGGGCUAAACCAUGCACCGAAGCUGCGGCAGCGACACUAUGUGUUGUUGGGUAGGGGAGCGUUCUGUAAGCCUGUGAAGGUGUACUGUGAGGUAUGCUGGAGGUAUCAGAAGUGCGAAUGCUGACAUAAGUAACGAUAAAGCGGGUGAAAAGCCCGCUCGCCGGAAGACCAAGGGUUCCUGUCCAACGUUAAUCGGGGCAGGGUGAGUCGACCCCUAAGGCGAGGCCGAAAGGCGUAGUCGAUGGGAAACAGGUUAAUAUUCCUGUACUUGGUGUUACUGCGAAGGGGGGACGGAGAAGGCUAUGUUGGCCGGGCGACGGUUGUCCCGGUUUAAGCGUGUAGGCUGGUUUUCCAGGCAAAUCCGGAAAA